Molecule: ribosomal RNA, 1185 nt
Filed under: Lychaete dotyana
Lineage: Eukaryota; Viridiplantae; Chlorophyta; Ulvophyceae; Cladophorales; Cladophoraceae
Description: eukaryotic LSU rRNA
Rfam family: 5.8S ribosomal RNA (bases 642-795)
Source: RNAcentral
AGUUCAUUGAACCCUCUCACCUAGAGGAAGGAGAAGUCGUAACAAGGUCUCCGUAGGUGAACCUGCGGAGGGAUCCAUAGCAAACUUAUUCCUGCCUUAGGCAUGUCGUCGCAUCUAUAGCGCGCUUGCCGACAGACAGGUUGGGGCGGUCCCUGCUCUGCUGUGGGUGGGGAUUCUCUCCUCCUGUCCUAUAGUGGUGGCUCGGGUGUGGGGCAGUUGCCUACCUCACAUACCAAGGCCUCUCGCGAUGAUGCUGCUCCCUUACGGCUGUUUGAUCUGUUGGUACAACGAACACAUCCAACACUGCCUGUAGAGAAGGGGGGUGGCUGUGGUCGACUGGAGUAUGCCGCCAUUCUGUGGUUUCUGGUCGACCGGGAUUGCAGCGGCGGAGGGAACUGCAGUCCUCUGCCGUUGUCCGAACGUGGUUGCCAUACUGGCACCAUUUUAUGGCCGUACGUGUGCAUCCUCAUGGUGCGCGCAUUCGCAUGUGUCGCCAUGUUGGUCGUCGCUACUGCCCCCGGGCUUUGCAUGCCUACACGUAGGUGUGCAAGGUAAUCCCAUUCAAAUGCACAUCACUAGGUUACUCCGUGCUUGGUUUUGGCUUGGAGGGCAGUGUCCCUCGGGCUUGAAGUUGAUAGCGAAACACUAUACAAUGGAUUUCUUGGCUCCCACAUCGAUGAAGAACGCAGCAAAGCGCGAUAGGUAGUGUGAAUUGCAGAAUUCCGUGAAUCAUCGAAUUUUUGAACGCACAUUGCGCCCGAGCUCUUGUGCUUGGGCAUGCCUGCCUCAGCGUCGUUCGAGUAUUUGGCUCUAGCCGGUGUUAGAUGCUUGCCACGAUCAUGCGCGGUAUGCAUAGAUGAAUGAUAUAAUUGGGGGGGUAUGAAUAAGAUGCGUGCACAAGCGUGCGUGCAUUACACUCCUCCCUCCCUAGUGCAGACUUGCUUCUGCCUCUAGCGGAGCAAGGUUUGCAAAACCGAGUGGGCAAGGGUGGAGUUCUCCUCACCUAUUGGGCGAGAUGUAACGUUCCCUGUCGCUCAUAAUACUCAAGCCACUGCCUUGUCUUGCACUGCUUGGCUUAAGGUUAUGAUGGGUAGCAGAGAACGUGAUGUCCGUAGAUGAGUGUACCGUCUCUACCUUCCCACUUCCCAAUAUUCGACCUGAGUUCAGGCAGGGUGACCCGCUGAA